GGACUACAGGGGUAUCUAAUCCUGUUUGCUCCCCUAGCUUUCGUUCCUCAGCGUCAGUUGUGGUCCAGUGCGCCGCUUUCGCCACGGGUGUUCCUGCAGAUAUCUACGCAUUUCACCGCUACACCUGCAAUUCCACGCACCUCUCCCACACUCAAGCACAGCAGUUUUGGAAGCAGCCUCUGGGUUGAGCCCAGAGAUUUCACUCCCAACUUGCCGCACCGCCUACGAACCCUUUACACCCAGUAAUUCCGAACAACGCUGGCCCCCUACGUCUUACCGCGGCGGCUGGCAC
RNAcentral lists this ribosomal RNA (292 nucleotides) under uncultured Acidobacteriota bacterium. RNAcentral describes it as "uncultured Acidobacteria bacterium partial 16S ribosomal RNA". The record is from RNAcentral. Lineage: Bacteria; Pseudomonadati; Acidobacteriota.